RNAcentral lists this ribosomal RNA (381 nucleotides) under uncultured bacterium. RNAcentral's name for it is "bacterial SSU rRNA". It matches the Rfam family "Bacterial small subunit ribosomal RNA", at positions 29 to 422 of the family's 1533-position model. The record is from RNAcentral.
AACGAACGCUGGCGGCAGGCCUAACACAUGCAAGUCGAACGCCGUAGCAAUACGGAGUGGCAGACGGGUGAGUAACGCGUGGGAACAUACCCCUCGGUUCGGAAUAACUCAGGGAAACUUGAGCUAAUACCGGAUACGUCCAAGGUUUUAAUCGACCUUGGAGAAAGAUUUAUCGCCGGAGGAUUGGCCCGCGUCUGAUUAGCUUGUUGGUGAGGUAAUGGCUCACCAAGGCGACGAUCAGUAGCUGGUCUGAGAGGAUGAUCAGCCACAUUGGGACUGAGACACGGCCCAAACUCCUACGGGAGGCAGCAGUAGGGAAUAUUGGUCAAUGGAUGGAAGUCUGAACCAGCCAUGCCGCGUGCAGGAAGAAGGCGUUAUGCG